Molecule: ribosomal RNA, 895 nt
Filed under: uncultured bacterium
Lineage: Bacteria
Description: bacterial SSU rRNA
Rfam family: Bacterial small subunit ribosomal RNA
Source: RNAcentral
GAUUGAACGCUGGCGGCAGGCCUAACACAUGCAAGUCGAGCGGAUGAAGGGAGCUUGCUCCUGGAUUCAGCGGCGGACGGGUGAGUAAUGCCUAGGAAUCUGCCUGGUAGUGGGGGAUAACGUCCGGAAACGGGCGCUAAUACCGCAUACGUCCUGAGGGAGAAAGUGGGGGAUCUUCGGACCUCACGCUAUCAGAUGAGCCUAGGUCGGAUUAGCUAGUUGGUGGGGUAAAGGCCUACCAAGGCGACGAUCCGUAACUGGUCUGAGAGGAUGAUCAGUCACACUGGAACUGAGACACGGUCCAGACUCCUACGGGAGGCAGCAGUGGGGAAUAUUGGACAAUGGGCGAAAGCCUGAUCCAGCCAUGCCGCGUGUGUGAAGAAGGUCUUCGGAUUGUAAAGCACUUUAAGUUGGGAGGAAGGGCAGUAAGUUAAUACCUUGCUGUUUUGACGUUACCAACAGAAUAAGCACCGGCUAACUUCGUGCCAGCAGCCGCGGUAAUACGAAGGGUGCAAGCGUUAAUCGGAAUUACUGGGCGUAAAGCGCGCGUAGGUGGUUCAGCAAGUUGGAUGUGAAAUCCCCGGGCUCAACCUGGGAACUGCAUCCAAAACUACUGAGCUAGAGUACGGUAGAGGGUGGUGGAAUUUCCUGUGUAGCGGUGAAAUGCGUAGAUAUAGGAAGGAACACCAGUGGCGAAGGCGACCACCUGGACUGAUACUGACACUGAGGUGCGAAAGCGUGGGGAGCAAACAGGAUUAGAUACCCUGGUAGUCCACGCCGUAAACGAUGUCGACUAGCCGUUGGGAUCCUUGAGAUCUUAGUGGCGCAGCUAACGCGAUAAGUCGACCGCCUGGGGAGUACGGCCGCAAGGUUAAAACUCAAAGGAAUUGACGGC